CUAACACAUGCAAGUCGAGGGGCUCGGGAUUGAAGCUUGCUUCAAUUGCCGGCGACCGGCGCACGGGUGCGUAACGCGUAUGUAACCUACCUAUAACAGGGGCAUAACACUGAGAAAUUGGUACUAAUUCCCCAUAAUAUUCGGAGAGGCAUCUCUCCGGGUUGAAAACUCCGGUGGUUAUAGAUGGACAUGCGUUGUAUUAGCUAGUUGGUGAGGUAACGGCUCACCAAGGCAACGAUACAUAGGGGGACUGAGAGGUUAACCCCCCACACUGGUACUGAGACACGGACCAGACUCCUACGGGAGGCAGCAGUGAGGAAUAUUGGUCAAUGGACGCAAGUCUGAACCAGCCAUGCCGCGUGCAGGAAGACGGCUCUAUGAGUUGUAAACUGCUUUUGUACGAGGGUAAACUCACCUACGUGUAGGUGACUGAAAGUAUCGUACGAAUAAGGAUCGGCUAACUCCGUGCCAGCAGCCGCGGUAAUACGGAGGAUUCAAGCGUUAUCCGGAUUUAUUGGGUUUAAAGGGUGCGUAGGCGGUUUGAUAAGUUAGAGGUGAAAUCCCGGGGCUUAACUCCGGAACUGCCUCUAAUACUGUUAGACUAGAGAGUAGUUGCGGUAGGCGGAAUGUAUGGUGUAGCGGUGAAAUGCUUAGAGAUCAUACAGAACACCGAUUGCGAAGGCAGCUUACCAAACUAUAUCUGACGUUGAGG
RNAcentral lists this ribosomal RNA (712 nucleotides) under uncultured Bacteroidales bacterium. RNAcentral's name for it is "bacterial SSU rRNA". It matches the Rfam family "Bacterial small subunit ribosomal RNA", at positions 48 to 751 of the family's 1533-position model. Lineage: Bacteria; Pseudomonadati; Bacteroidota; Bacteroidia; Bacteroidales. The record is from RNAcentral.